RNAcentral lists this long non-coding RNA (526 nucleotides) under Trifolium pratense (red clover). RNAcentral's name for it is "long non-coding RNA (TPRA_LNC013808)". The record is from RNAcentral. Lineage: Eukaryota; Viridiplantae; Streptophyta; Magnoliopsida; Fabales; Fabaceae.
UCAAUUUUAGGGACAUCCAGGGACAACCUCUCAAUUUAGGGAUAUUGAAGUAUAUAAAUUCAAUUUAGGGACACCAAGGGACAAAUACUCAAUUUCGCAUCGAAGGCACCACGACACAACUAUCUUCCUUAUUUCGCAUCGAAGGGGCAUCUUGGGACAUAUAUUCAAUUUUGGGACAUUGAGGGACAUAUUCAAUUUUGCAUCUAAGGUGCCAAGGGACUUCUCCACUUGCAUUCAUUGAGGUACAUAAACUCAAUAUAAGGACAUCUAGAGACAUAAACUCAAUUUAGGGACAUUGAGGGACAUAUACUCAAUUUCGCAUCAAAAGCACCAAGGCACACACACAACCAUCUUUCUUAUCAAGGGUCAUCUCAACUUGCAUUUCAAGUUAUGAAUAAAAUGUUCAUAUUCAAAUUGCAUUUAGACCAUAAAACAAGACUUCAUAGUACCAUCAAUUCACUUUAUCAAAUUUAGGAUCACAUGAUCCAAAUAUCAAAUUAUGUAUCCAAGAUCAUUCACCGUCAAU